RNAcentral lists this unclassified non-coding RNA (244 nucleotides) under Hevea brasiliensis (rubber tree). Lineage: Eukaryota; Viridiplantae; Streptophyta; Magnoliopsida; Malpighiales; Euphorbiaceae. The record is from RNAcentral.
GGAGGAGUAUAAUAAGAGAUCGAACGCCCAUCUGACGCUGGUAAAGCUGGUGAAGGGCGAACAGCAGGUGGUUUCAGGGAUGAAUUACCGGCUGAUAUUGGCGGUAAAAGAGGGAAAAGCCAGCAAGAAGUAUGAGGCGGUGGUUUGGGAGAAGGCGUGGGAGAAUUUCAGGAAUCUAACGUCGUUUGAGCCUGUAGAAGGGUAAUUCUGUGAUUUCAUGUGUAAAAGAUAUUUUUUCUUUUUC